Molecule: ribosomal RNA, 527 nt
Filed under: Diaporthe sp. Cc002
Lineage: Eukaryota; Fungi; Ascomycota; Sordariomycetes; Diaporthales; Diaporthaceae
Description: eukaryotic LSU rRNA
Rfam family: 5.8S ribosomal RNA (bases 194-347)
Source: RNAcentral
UGCGGAGGGAUCAUUGCUGGAACGCGCCCCAGGCGCACCCAGAAACCCUUUGUGAACUUAUACCUUACUGUUGCCUCGGCGCUAGCUGGUCCUCCGGGGCCCCUCACCCCCGGGUGUUGAGACAGCCCGCCGGCGGCCAACCUAACUCUUGUUUUUACACUGAAACUCUGAGAAUAAAACAUAAAUGAAUCAAAACUUUCAACAACGGAUCUCUUGGUUCUGGCAUCGAUGAAGAACGCAGCGAAAUGCGAUAAGUAAUGUGAAUUGCAGAAUUCAGUGAAUCAUCGAAUCUUUGAACGCACAUUGCGCCCUCUGGUAUUCCGGAGGGCAUGCCUGUUCGAGCGUCAUUUCAACCCUCAAGCCUGGCUUGGUGAUGGGGCACUGCUUCUUACCCGAGAAGCAGGCCCUGAAAUUCAGUGGCGAGCUCGCCAGGACCCCGAGCGCAGUAGUUAAACCCUCGCUCUGGAAGGCCCUGGCGGUGCCCUGCCGUUAAACCCCCAACUUCUGAAAAUUUGACCUCGGAUCAG